AGUCUAACAUGUGCGCGAGUCAUUGGGACAUUGAAACCUAAAGGCGCAAUGAAAGUGAAGGUCGUACCUUGCGGUCGACCAAGGGAGGAUGGGCCGCGUCACGAUGCGGCCUCGCACUCCCGGGGCGUCUCGUUCUCAUUGCGAGAAGAGGCGCACCCAGAGCGUACACGUUGGGACCCGAAAGAUGGUGAACUAUGCCUGGUCAGGACGAAGUCAGGGGAAACCCUGAUGGAGGUCCGUAGCGAUUCUGACGUGCAAAUCGAUCGUCGGAACUGGGUAUAGGGGCGAAAGACUAAUCGAACCAUCUAGUAGCUGGUUCCCUCCGAAGUUUCCCUCAGGAUAGCUGGCACUCGCUCGUUCCUUUUUGUGAACGCGUGCGAGUCUCAUCUGGUAAAGCGAAUGAUUAGAGGCCUUGGGGCCGAAACGACCUCAACCUAUUCUCAAACUUUAAAUGGGUGAGAUCUCUGGCUUGCUUGGAUCAAUGAAGCCACGAGAUUUUGGAUCAGAGUGCCAAGUGGGCCAAUUUUGGUAAGCAGAACUG
This 541-nucleotide ribosomal RNA is filed under the name Sphecodes gibbus. RNAcentral's name for it is "eukaryotic LSU rRNA". It matches the Rfam family "Eukaryotic large subunit ribosomal RNA", at positions 672 to 1152 of the family's 3401-position model. The record is from RNAcentral. Lineage: Eukaryota; Metazoa; Arthropoda; Insecta; Hymenoptera; Halictidae.